GAUGAACGCUGGCGGCGUGCCUAAUACAUGCAAGUCGAGCGAACAGACGAGGAGCUUGCUCCUCUGACGUUAGCGGCGGACGGGUGAGUAACACGUGGAUAACCUACCUAUAAGACUGGGAUAACUUCGGGAAACCGGAGCUAAUACCGGAUAAUAUAUUGAACCGCAUGGUUCAAUAGUGAAAGACGGUUUUGCUGUCACUUAUAGAUGGAUCCGCGCCGCAUUAGCUAGUUGGUAAGGUAACGGCUUACCAAGGCGACGAUGCGUAGCCGACCUGAGAGGGUGAUCGGCCUCACUGGAACUGAGACACGGUCCAGACUCCUACGGGAGGCAGCAGUAGGGAAUCUUCCGCAAUGGGCGAAAGCCUGACGGAGCAACGCCGCGUGAGUGAUGAAGGUCUUCGGAUCGUAAAACUCUGUUAUUAGGGAAGAACAAAUGUGUAAGUAACUAUGCACGUCUUGGCGGUACCUAAUCAGAAAGCCACGGCUAACUACGUG
This 497-nucleotide ribosomal RNA is filed under the name uncultured bacterium. Its description in RNAcentral is "partial 16S ribosomal RNA". It matches the Rfam family "Bacterial small subunit ribosomal RNA", at positions 28 to 507 of the family's 1533-position model. The record is from RNAcentral.